UAGAGUUUGAUCCUGGCUCAGAACGAACGCUGGCGGCAUGCCUAACACAUGCAAGUUGAACGAGAAAGCACCUUCGGGUGCAAGUAGAGUAGCGCACGGGUGAGCAACGCGUGGGAACCUGCCAAGCAGUACGGAAUAACCUUUGGAAACGAAGGGUAAUACCGCAUACGCCCCUUCGGGGGGAAAGAUUUAUCGCUGUUUGAUGGUCCCGCGUCCGAUUAGCUAGUUGGUAAGGUAACGGCUUACCAAGGCAACGAUCGGUAGCUGGUCUGAGAGGAUGAUCAGCCACACUGGAACUGAGACACGGUCCAGACUCCUACGGGAGGCAGCAGUGGGGAAUAUUGGACAAUGGGCGCAAGCCUGAUCCAGCAAUGCCGCGUGAGUGAAGAAGGCCCUAGGGUUGUAAAACUCUUUCGAUAGUGAAGAUGAUGACGGUAACUAUAAAGAAGCACCGCUAACUU
This 461-nucleotide ribosomal RNA is filed under the name uncultured bacterium. RNAcentral's name for it is "bacterial SSU rRNA". It matches the Rfam family "Bacterial small subunit ribosomal RNA", at positions 1 to 503 of the family's 1533-position model. The record is from RNAcentral.